GGAAGUAAAAGUCGUACCAAGGUUUCCGUAGGUGAACCUGCGGAAGGAUCAUUAUUGUAUAACCGAGGUGCGAGGGCUGUCGCUGACCCGAAAGGUCGUGCACGCCCGAGUGCCCUCACACACAUCCAUCUCACCCCUAUGUGCACCACCGCGUGGGUCCCCCUUUGGCUUGUUCGGAGGGGGGCUUACGUUUUCACACAAACUUUGUAUGCAGUGUAGAAUGUAUUUUUUGUUUUUGCGAUCACGCAAUCAAUACAACUUUCAACAACGGAUCUCUUGGCUCUC
Molecule: unclassified non-coding RNA, 285 nt
Filed under: plant metagenome
Description: partial contains small subunit ribosomal RNA, internal transcribed spacer 1, and 5.8S ribosomal RNA
Rfam family: Eukaryotic small subunit ribosomal RNA (bases 1-54)
Source: RNAcentral